This 253-nucleotide ribosomal RNA is filed under the name uncultured bacterium. Its description in RNAcentral is "partial 16S ribosomal RNA". It matches the Rfam family "Bacterial small subunit ribosomal RNA", at positions 524 to 776 of the family's 1533-position model. The record is from RNAcentral.
UACGAAGGGGGCUAGCGUUGCUCGGAAUCACUGGGCGUAAAGGGCGCGUAGGCGGAUCUUUAAGUCAGGGGUGAAAGCCUGAGGCUCAACCUCAGAAUUGCCUUUGAUACUGAAGAUCUUGAGACCGGAAGAGGUAAGUGGAACUGCGAGUGUAGAGGUGAAAUUCGUAGAUAUUCGCAAGAACACCAGUGGCGAAGGCGGCUUACUGGUCCGGAUCUGACGCUGAGGCGCGAAAGCCAGGGGAGCAAACGGG